This is a long non-coding RNA of Elgaria multicarinata webbii, 785 nucleotides long. RefSeq lists it as uncharacterized. The record is from RefSeq and is a predicted model, not a curated record. The transcript is spliced from 2 exons. Lineage: Eukaryota; Metazoa; Chordata; Lepidosauria; Squamata; Anguidae.
CGCCCUGGCUCUUCUGCCCAAUGGCAGAGCCGGCGCCGCCUUCUUCAAGCGGGGCCCAUCCUGAGCCUUUCGCCCCGGAAGUCCGAACUGGCGCCCGUAACUAUUUCCUGUAAACAGAUGGGGGGGGGGGGGGAAGCUGUCGCUCAGACUGGCUGGCUGGCUGUUGCCACUGCUGUUGUAGCUGCAGUCCGCUGCGCUCCCAGCCGUGCACCAAGAAUUGUAGCUGACAAAGAUGGAGGCAGUUUAUAUUUGGCAAUUCCGCUUCCUGUAGAAAUUAAUGUCCAAGGAUUGAUAGCGCAAUCUAAUGUGCGUUUUCUUAGAAAUAACAGUUCAGUUGGGUUCAACAGGGCUUCUUACUCCAAGCUUAGUGUACACAAGGCCCAGUGCGGCCAGCCCAGGACCGCUUUGCCGCCUCCUUAGCAGCCCACUGGGCCACAGCAGCAGUGGCUGCCCUGACAUCCAUAAUCGGGUGCCAGUGGAUGGAAAUGCAGGAAGAGGUUACCUGUGGCUCCACCAAGCUAGCUUCUGGGGCAAGGUCAUCUUGGACUAUUGGCAGCUCCAGGACCAACUGUUCAAAAUCUGUGAAAGAUAGUGGGAAUUUAUGAAGAAGAAAAAGCUUGAAGGUACCCAAGAAGCAAAACCAGGCUGAUUUCAGAAGCACCAUUGUGUGCUUUGGGUCUCAGUGUCUGCUUUUUCAAAUAAAAUUCCUUGCCAAUUAACCCAACACAAGGAAACAGUAAAAAUACACACAAUUUAGCAUUAAAUCAAUAAACAGUUAAAAUGUC